ACACCCAAGCCAGCAGGCAACCUGCUUGGGUCCCCUUCCACGUCGUGGAAGCUGUGUUCUUUUGCUCUUCACAGUAAAUCUUGCUGCUGCUCACUCUUUGGGUCCUCACUACCUUUAUGAGCUGUAACACCACGAGGGUCUGCAGCUUCACUCCUGAAGUCAGUGAGACCACGAACCCCCCAGGUGGAACAAACAACUCCAGACGCGCCACCUUUAAGAGCUGUAACACUCACUGUGAAGGCCUACGGUUUCACUCCUGAAGUCAGUGAGACCACGAACCCAGACCAACUCCGGACACAUCUGAACAUCUGAAGUUCCCUGGUAUGACUUAGCUGAUAGCUCAUCCUUCACAAGAAUGCUUACAUGAAUGGCACCCGAGUUGGAAGGAAAAAAGAUCCAGUGGAUCAUUUCAGAAUUUAGUUUGGCUCUCCCCACACAGGAUUUAACCAGGCUGACAGAUUCAGCACAGGAAAGUAUUUUAAUGUAAUGAUAUACCACCACUUCUAGACCCAAUGACAAGAUGAAAAUCCAAGAGCAGGCAUAAAACACCCAUGAAGAAAUGACAGAGCUUGAAGUCAGUGUGAAUAAUUUCUGAAUCAUAAAUUCACAAAGGGAACAGGGAAAAGAAAGGAGAAAAGGAGAAGCAAAGAGGAGGGGGAAAAGUUGAGUAGCUUGUUCCACCCACCUCAAAUGCUGAAUUUAAGAGCUUUCUGCACAUUCAUGUUUCCCAGUGACAGGGCUUCAGGUACAUCAAGUGGCCCACAAUCGCAGAUGCAUUAGAAGCUCUGCUUCAAUUGUGUUCAGAGGCCAAGUGUGUACCCAGUUAGGUAAUCAGGCUUUUUCAUGUUGACUACAGAUAUCCUCAUCACGUGCGCAGUUGUGCAUAAUGGAAAACAUGUAAUGUUCACAAUGGCUUCCCUCAAACUUCACUUUCCUUUCCCAGAUAUCUGCUGCCUGUCUUUGCUCCUGAAGUGCAUCACCAUUUGAUGGGAAGCUCUGUAAACCUAUAUUUAGUGCCUGAGAAACACCCUCUUCUCUCUUUACCCUCAGGAUAGCUAAGAUCAGCACUUCUGUUAAUAGUUUCCAGGUUUGAACUCUAAGCAACUAAGCUACCCUUGGAAUUUACUUUUUCUCACAGACAAAUAAAGAUUGAGGAAUACUACGAAAUCUUUUUUUUAUUAGCAUGUCCAGAUAGAAAUUCUCUUGUAUCUUUGGCCACUCCAUUUCUUCUUGUCAGUGUUAAAACUGGAAUUUAGGAUGCAUAUGCUGUUAAAAGAUCUGGAAUUUAUCAUAAAUGUACAAAUUGAGAAAUAAAGCGUAAUUAUGUACCACUAUGCACAUCUAAGAGAAAAAGCCUGCAGUAUAGCCAAAUAUGAUGUUCCUGUUGGCAUGUCUAGCCUGGUGGUCCUUUGCAUUACUAUGCAUGUAAUAUGUUUACAGGGUAUGUCAUCACCCUCUUCUUGGCAGCAGAAACCAAGCAGAGUCUAAAACAUGGGAGACUUUUAAUAAAUGCCUACCAAAUUACAUUGAGAAGUCAGUGGCCUCUAAACAUAUUUGGAUCUGACUCUACCUUUUUUCAAUAUGUUUAUUGUUUCUAGUUAUGAAUAUCUACAUAGAUGUGCCUUUCCAUCUUUUGAACUAGAAGAGAAAUAAAUAGGGAGGAAAGAGAAUUCCGCAACUAAUUCCAACCCACUGAUUUCAUUCCUACUGGUUCCUAGAAAUAGGCCAAAAAAUAGGAGUAGGCUACCUCCAUGCUGACCUGCAAGUUCAUUUUAAUAUUAACUACUAUGUCAGGCCGUAAGAUGACCUAAUAAGCACACAAUAUCUGGAGAGCUAAGCGGAGUUAUUCCUCAUACCUAAGGCGACUUCUCUCUCUGAAUAUUUGUAUGCUGGAUUUGUCUCUGAAGCUAAGCUUGGUAUGGGAAAAUGGGAAACUAGAUAACUGAACAGCUAUUACUUGUUAAACUGCAGUUGGGGUAACUAUAAAUAAGCAGAAGAAAACUCAGGUUUAAAGUGCCUUAAGUGCAGCUUGAAGCAACAUACCUAGAACCCUGAAGUCGGUGCAGCUAGAAUGAAGCAGGACUCUGAACAAAACCUUUCCCGUAACUAAAAUCUCUGUACCUGCACAUUUUAUUUUCAACACAGUAUUCUUGGUAAAGAGUUCUUGAAAGCAUCAGAAGCCAUAAAUAAUGCUAUGUAAUCAAAGACUGGAUAUGAAUUAGAGUUUACAAGUUUGUCAUUUUUGCCUUUAAAAAAUGUCAGAAAUAUGGUGUCUGUAGUGAUCUCAUUUUCUGAAAGGAAUCCAAUUGCAGACAAAGGAGGCUUUCUCUAGAAGCAAGGGAUGUAAAGCUUGAGAAAUAUGGAUUUAUAAUGAAUACUUAGAAUCACGUUAAACAUUGUUCUCCUAGAAAUAUCAAGUUAAUUAUUGAUAAACACCCUGAUGUCACGAUCAGGUUCAAUAUCUAGGGGUUCAAUUUCUGUUUCUUAGUGAUCUUCAAUAUCAACAGCUAUUCAGAUUUUCAGGUGGCUUCUGUUUUAGGUUUUUAUUUACUUUGGUUUGUAUUUUGCCUCAUUCAUAAUAAAACACAAGGUCAUUCCUACUUACACUGUUCCACAAAGGUUACCUUGCACACAUUAUAAGCAGGUAGACCCUGUGAGUCAAAUAUAGCACAUAGCUAUGUUUGGUUUGACUCCAACACUGUUUGAAAUAUGUGAAAUUUUUUAGAUAUCGAUAAAUUCUUCCAUUCACAAUGAUUCUUACCACCCCCUAUUGUAUUUACCCACAUAUUUACAAUUAUCUUUUUUAAUCUUUGUAGGCAUCAGAGUUGGCAUGCCCUACCCUAGAUUCUGGGCUUCCCGUGAUGCAAAAAAAAAAAAAAAAAAUCUUUAUUUCACACUGGGUCAAUUCCAUCAGCUUGCACUAAAUAUUUACAGGAGUUCAUUUAUUAAAUGUUUGUUGAGCAGCUUCUAUACACUAAAUACUAUGCUGGGCACUAGUGACACAGUAACUUCAUGCAGCUUCCAUUCACAUUGGGGAUGGGAGGGUGAAUUGACGAUAAAUAAAUACAUUUCAGGUGGUGAUAAAUAUUAUGUAAGGAAAAAUAAAGUAGAGGAAGGAGAUAGAGUGUGACAGGGGAUGCUAUUUUCAACAAGUUAUCAGGAAACAUUCUCUCUGAUGAGGCGAUAUCAUAGCAAGCACCUGAAUAAAGUGACAGAAUGAACAAUACAGGUAUCUGGGGGAAGAGCUUUCCAAGCAGACACAGGCCCCCUCUUAAAGGAAGCGUCAUCUUUACAAUGGUAAGAGUUUCUACCUCUAGCACACUCUUGAUUUCUUGAGCUGAAAAUAAAAGAAAAUUGCUAGUCGUUUUCUCCUUAAUUCUCUCAGUGUUUUUUCCACUUGGUUUUUUAAACCAAGUGGAAAAUACAUCAGUAAUUUUCAAACUCUUCUUUCACUAUUACAACUUGAUGCUUCUCUUAUCACUGAAACAAUAAUAAUAGAAUUUUGCUACUCUGGAGGAAAAUGUCUAUUGGAAAAACUACUUAUAGAUAAUGCUCUCACCAAAAAUCCCUAGGUUACUUCUAACAGCAAGAACAAUGAAUAAUAAGCAAGGGCAUAUUUAUGUAAAAAAGAACCAUAUCCCUUUUGCAAGUAUUUUUAAAAUAAUAGAAUAAGUGAAUAUUCUGCCUGCUUUUUUUAAAAAAGAGUCUGUAAUUAGCGUAAAUUAGUAAAGAAGUCUAAUUUGUGUUUUUAAAAAUAGAAAUUAUGUUAGAAUUUUAAAAAGACCUGAGAGAUUAUUUUCAUCAGUUCCCUCUCUUAGACAGUAAGGAAACUAAAGCUCUCGGGGUUUAAAUGGUUCCAAGGACAAAGAGCCAUUUAUUGGCCAUGCUGGAACUGGGAGCCAAGGUUUGUAAUUUGUAGACUAGUACUCUUAUAUUGUGUAGAGCACAUUGUACUAG
Molecule: long non-coding RNA, 3957 nt
Organism: Pan troglodytes (chimpanzee)
Lineage: Eukaryota; Metazoa; Chordata; Mammalia; Primates; Hominidae
Exons: 3
Source: RefSeq, a predicted model, not a curated record